GAUACCCGCUGAACUUAAGCAUAUCAAUAAGCGGAGGAAAAGAAACCAACAGGGAUUGCCCCAGUAACGGCGAGUGAAGCGGCAAGAGCUCAAAUUUGAAAUCUGGCCCCGUCGGGGUCCGAGUUGUAAUUUGCAGAGGAUGCUUCGGGUGCGGCCCCCGUCUAAGUGCCCUGGAACGGGCCGCCGGAGAGGGUGAGAGUCCCGUCUGGGACGGGUGGCCGCGUCCGUGUGAAGCUCCUUCGACGAGUCGAGUUGUUUGGGAAUGCAGCUCUAAAUGGGUGGUAAAUUUCAUCUAAAGCUAAAUAUUGGCCGGAGACCGAUAGCGCACAAGUAGAGUGAUCGAAAGAUGAAAAGCACUUUGAAAAGAGAGUUAAAUAGCACGUGAAAUUGUUGAAAGGGAAGCGCUUGCGACCAGACUCGCCCGCGGGGGUUCAGCCGGCACUCGUGCCGGUGCACUCCCCCGCGGGCGGGCCAGCGUCGGUUUGGGCGGUCGGUCAAAGGCCCCCGGAAUGUGUCGCCCCUCGGGGCGUCUUAUAGCCGGGGGUGCAAUGCGGCCAGCCCGGACCGAGGACCGCGCUUCGGCAUGGACGCUGGCGUAAUGGUCGUAAGCGACC
Molecule: ribosomal RNA, 614 nt
Filed under: Thermoascus aurantiacus
Lineage: Eukaryota; Fungi; Ascomycota; Eurotiomycetes; Eurotiales; Thermoascaceae
Description: eukaryotic LSU rRNA
Rfam family: Eukaryotic large subunit ribosomal RNA
Source: RNAcentral